RNAcentral lists this long non-coding RNA (1361 nucleotides) under Homo sapiens (human). RNAcentral's name for it is "HSALNT0077928". The record is from RNAcentral. Lineage: Eukaryota; Metazoa; Chordata; Mammalia; Primates; Hominidae.
UCUGGCCUUUUUUAAAGUUUUAUUUUAAGUUCAAGGGUACAUGUGCAGGAUUGUUAUAUAGGUAAAUUAUGUGUCACAGGGGUUUGAUGUACAGAUUAUUUCACUACCCAGUUAAUAAGCAUAGUACCUGAUAGACAGUUUCUCAAUCCUCACCCUCCUUCCUCUUUCAACCCUCAAGCAGGCCCUGGUGUCUUUUCCCUUCUUUGUGUCCAUAUGUACUCAACUUUCAGCUUCCACUUUUAAGACAACAUGCAGUAUUUGAUUUUCUAUUACUGUGUUAGUUCACUUAGGAUAAUGGCAUCCAGCUCCAUCCAUGUUCCUGCAAAGGAUACAAUCUCAUUCUUUUUUAUGGCUGCAUAGUACUCCAUGGUGAAUGUGUACCAUAUUUUCUUUAUCUAGUCUACUGGUGAUGAACAUUUAGGUUGAUUCCUUGUUUUUGCUAUUGUGAAUAGUGCUGCAAUGAACAUACACGUGCAUGGGUCUUGAUGGUAGAACAAUUUAUAUCCCUUUGGGUAUAUAGCCAAUGAUAGUAUUGCUGGGUCAAAUGGUAGUUCUGCUUUGAGAUCUUUGAGAAAUGGUCAAAUUGCUUUCCACAAUGGCUGAACUAAUUUUCAUACUCACCAGUAGUGUAUAAGUAUUCUCUUUUCUUUGCAACCCUGCCAGCAUCUACUUUCUGACUUUUAAAUAACAGCCAUUCUGACUGGUGGGAAAUGGUAUAUCAUUUUUUAAAAAAAAUUUAUUUUAGAGACAGGGUUUCAUUCUGCUGCCCAGGCAAGAGUGCAGUGACAUGAUCAUAGAUCACUACAGCCUCAAACUCCUGUGCUCACGGAAGUCCUAUAUUUCUGAAUUUGUAUACUGGUUCUGUUGAUCACUAGCUGCAUAAAGUUCAAAUAUAGAUUUAGGCAGCCAAGAUGGCCGAAUAGCAGUAGCUCCACUCUGCGGCUCCCACCGAGAAGGAAGGAAACAACGGGUGAACUCUGAAUCUUCAACUGAGACAAACCAAUGCAGAGAGAAUUUGUCACAACCAGGCCUGCCUUGCAAGAGCUCCUGAAGGAAGCACUAAAUAUGGAAAGGAAAAAUUGUUACCAGCCACUAGAAAAAACACACUGUUGUACACAGACCAGUGACAGUAUGAAGCAAAUACAUAAAUAAGUCUGCAAAAUAACCAACUACAAUCAUGAAAACAAGAUCAAAUUCACACAUAACAAUAUCAAUUUUAUUUGGGAGGCUGAGGCAGGAGGAUCACGAGGCCAGGAGAUCGAGACCAUCCUGGCUAACAUGGUGAAACCUCAUCUCUACUAAAAAUACAAAAAAACAUUAGCUGGGCUCAGUGGCAGGCCCCUGUAGUCCCAGCUACUCUG